This 424-nucleotide long non-coding RNA is filed under the name Elaeis guineensis (African oil palm). RNAcentral's name for it is "long non-coding RNA (EGUI_LNC078209)". Lineage: Eukaryota; Viridiplantae; Streptophyta; Magnoliopsida; Arecales; Arecaceae. The record is from RNAcentral.
UUUGUUUAUGUUUUUUUCUGUAUGAGAAUUGCCUCGUUGCUUAUUUCUCAUACUUCUUUUUUUUCCCCCUUCUUUUUCUUAUUAUUUAUUUCUCUGGAAUUUGGAUAGACAUGCAAUUAGACGAGCAAUUGUAUUUUGGCUUCAGCCUGAUAUCUAUAUUCCAAGAAAUCCUUUUUUUUUUGCACCAGUUUCACAUCAACUUCUUGAUUAUCAUUUGGAAUUCUAUCCUGCUUGUCUCUAUUAUCACUAUUGUUAUCACCCAUGAUGAAAAUCUUUCAUAUUGAAAUUCCAUUUGAGCCAUACUCCAUGGCUGGAUUUGAAUUGAGAUUCUUACUCUGCGACUUUUGUUGGCAUUUCUACUUUUUCCCUCCUUUCCAUAUAUCUAUACUUCGCCCUCCAAAUGUUUUUGGCUUCUGUGCUUCCU